This 1473-nucleotide ribosomal RNA is filed under the name Galatheacaris abyssalis. RNAcentral describes it as "SSU rRNA". It matches the Rfam family "Eukaryotic small subunit ribosomal RNA", at positions 396 to 1824 of the family's 1831-position model. Lineage: Eukaryota; Metazoa; Arthropoda; Malacostraca; Decapoda; Galatheacarididae. The record is from RNAcentral.
GCCUGAGAAACGGCUACCACAUCCAAGGAAGGCAGCAGGCACGCAAAUUACCCAAUCCCAGNUUUGGGAGGUAGNGACGAAAAAUAACAAUGCGGGANUCUUCCGAGUNUGCGUAAUUGGAAUGAGCACACAUUUAAAUCCUUUAGCAACAACCAAUUGGAGGGCAAGUCUGGUGCCAGCAGCCGCGGUAAUUCCAGCUCCAAUAGCGUAUAUUAAAGWUGUUGCGGUUAAAAAGCUCGUAGUUCGAGUUCAGUUCCGGACUGACCGGGGAGGUCACCGCCCGGUGCUUCCCCGUCAGGCUCCGAACAGCUUUUGUGAGCAAAAGCCAAGCCGGUUUCGCCGGGGUGCUCUUCACCGAGUGUCCCGCGCGGCCGGCCAGUUUACCUUGAAUAAAUGAGAGUGCUCAAAGCAGGCUACUCUUAAAAAUAAAGCCCGAAUGUUACCUGCAUGGAAUGAUGGAAGAUGAUCUCGGUUCCAUUUUAUUGGCUCUGGGAAUCCGAGUUAAUGAUAAACAGGGACUGUCGGGGGCAUCCGUACUACGACGCGAGAGGUGAAAUUCAGUGACCGUCGUAGGACGAACAACAGCGAAAGCAUUUGCCAAGAAUGUCUUCGUUGAUCAAGAACGAAAGUUAGAGGAUCGAAGGCGAUCAGAUACCGCCCUAGUUCUAACCCUAAACGAUGCUGACUAGCAAUUCGCCGUCGUUAUUCCCAUGACGUGGCGAGACGCCCCCGGGAAACCUCAAGUCUCUGAGUUCCGGGGGUAGUAUGGUUGCAAAACUGAAACUUAAAGGAAUUGACGGAAGGGCACCACCAGGAGUGGAGCCUGCGGCUUAAUUUGACUCAACACGGGGAACCUCACCAGGCCCGGACACCAGAAGGAUUGACAGAUUAAGAGCUCUUUCUCGAUUUGGUGGGUGGUGGUGCAUGGCCGUUCUUAGUUGGUGGAGUGAUUUGUCUGGUUAAUUCCGGUAACGAACGAGACUCUGGCCUAUUAAAUAGUCGACGUGGGUUUUGGUGCAUGGGCCCCGUUCGACACUGUCUUCUUAGAGGGAUGAGCAGCGAGUAUAGCUGCAGGAGAUUGAGCAAUAACAGGUCUGUGAUGCCCUUAGAUGUCCUGGGCCGCACGCGCGCUACACUGAAUGGGUUAGCGGGUUUUCCUUCUCCGAGAGGAGCGGGAAAUCGCGUGAAAACCAUUCGUGAUAGGGAUUGGGGCUUGCAAUUGUUUCCCAUGAACGAGGAAUUCCCAGUAAGCGCAAGUCAUCAGCUUGCGUUGAUUAAGUCCCUGCCCUUUGUACACACCGCCCGUCGCUACUACCGAUUGAAUGAUUUAGUGAGGCCUUCGGACUGGCGGUCUUGGAACGGGUUCCGCUCGCCACCACCCCAGCGAUGGGGGGCGUCGGACUCUCCAUGACGAGCCGGAAAGAUGUCCAAACUUGAUCAUUUAGAGGAAGUAAAAGUCGUAACAAGGUUUCC